Molecule: ribosomal RNA, 509 nt
Filed under: uncultured bacterium
Lineage: Bacteria
Description: bacterial SSU rRNA
Rfam family: Bacterial small subunit ribosomal RNA
Source: RNAcentral
AACGAACGCUGGCGGCGUGGAUAAGACAUGCAAGUCGAACGCUCGUUUCAGGGUAGCAAUAUUCUGAGGCGGGAGUGGCGCAAGGGUGCGUAACACGUGGGUCAUUUGCCGCGAAGCUGGGAAUAACUCGUUGAAAGACGAGCUAAUACCCAAUGUGCUCCGCAAGGAGUAAAGCCGGGGACCGCAAGGCCUGGCACUUCGCGAUAAGCCCGCGGCCUAUCAGCUAGUUGGCGGGGUAAAAGCCCACCAAGGCUAAGACGGGUAGCUGGUCUGAGAGGACGACCAGCCACACUGGAACUGAGACACGGUCCAGACACCUACGGGUGGCAGCAGUCGAGAAUUUUUCACAAUGGGCGAAAGCCUGAUGGAGCGACGCCGCGUGGGGGACGAAGGGCUUCGGCUCGUAAACCCCUGUCAUUUGCGAACAAAGGCGCCGACCUAACACGUCGUCGUCUGAUAGUAGCAGAAGAGGAAGGGACGGCUAACUCUGUGCCAGCAGCCGCGGUAAU